Long non-coding RNA from Homo sapiens (human), 586 nucleotides. RefSeq lists it as uncharacterized. The record is from RefSeq and is a predicted model, not a curated record. Lineage: Eukaryota; Metazoa; Chordata; Mammalia; Primates; Hominidae. The transcript has 3 exons.
ACAGAUGGAGGGAGGGAUUUCCACCAGGCAGUGAAGUCACAGCAGGAGACAGAGGCGGUGCUGGGUGUGGAUGGGAGACUAGCUGGACUGAACACAGGGCUGUGGGGGGUCAUAAUAGAUGGGCCAGGAGAGUAGGUUGGGACUGCACCCCAGAAGGCCUUGAGAGCAAUGGGUAGCAAUGAAGGAUUUGGAGCAAGGACCCCACAGGACUGAGGGAACCCAUCAGAAAUGAAUCACAGCACUGACUUAAGACAGCAGGUCAGCAAACAGUAUUCCUGGAAUCGGGUUGGAAUUCAGCCAUUCGGUCUGCUCUUGCAGGCAUUAGCUGGUCAAGGGAGAAGAAUACAACAUCAUUUCUGUGGUGUUCUUGCCAAAAAUACAUAAGCGACUUUAAUUAUGAGGAAACACCCGACAAACACAAAUGGAGAAAGUCUCUACCUUAUCUGGCUAGUACUUUUCAAGAAUGUCCAAGUCAUGAAAGACAAAGACCAGUGGAUUAUUACAGAUUAGAGAAGACUAAGGAGAUAUUGUGUCCGGAAUUGGUGGGUUCUUGGUCUCACUGACUUCAAGAAUGAAGCCGUGGACC